RNAcentral lists this long non-coding RNA (271 nucleotides) under Homo sapiens (human). RNAcentral describes it as "LHRI_LNC1282.1". Lineage: Eukaryota; Metazoa; Chordata; Mammalia; Primates; Hominidae. The record is from RNAcentral.
CAACCAGGAAAAAAAAAGUAUUUUGCAAAGAGUUCUAAAGGCUCCAGCACAAGGCAGUGUAUCUGUAUCACAGCACAGGUGAAAAACAAGAACAAGAUGGAAUUCUCAGAAGAGGAUGAGCAGAACUUGGACAUCCCAGAAAAAAGGUGUCUGGACUGAACCCGACCACAGUUGGCCAAGGACUUUCACCAAUUCUUCAUACAUAGGAAUGGUACAUUAGAAUCCUAUUAUAUAUUCCUUAGGGUCACAGAUGAUUCUGUUUAUGUUAAUU